CAGAGGUCUCAACCGUUGUUCGGAUUCAUUGGGCGUAAAGGGUGCGUAGGCGGUCGCGUAAGUCAGGUGUGAAAUCUCAGGGCUCAACCCUGAAACUGCACUUGAUACUGCGUGGCUCGGGUACUGGAGAGGAGACUGGAAUUUACGGUGUAGCAGUGAAAUGCGUAGAUAUCGUAAGGAAGACCAGUGGCGAAGGCGAGUCUCUGGACAGUUACCGACGCUGAGGCACGAAGGUCAGGGGAGCAAACGGGAUUAGAUACCCCGGUAGUCCUGACAGUAAACGGUGCACGUUUGGUGUAGGCGGAUUCGACCCCGUCUGUGCCGGAGCUAACGCGUUAAACGUGCCGCCUGGGAAGUACGGUCGCAAGAUUA
Molecule: ribosomal RNA, 372 nt
Filed under: uncultured organism
Description: bacterial SSU rRNA
Rfam family: Bacterial small subunit ribosomal RNA
Source: RNAcentral